UGUGCAGACACGGUGCAGACUAGGUGGCCCGUCUAACAAGACAGGUUGGAGUGGGAAGAGGUGACACAGCCAAGCAGAGGAGCCCGCAGCCCCGCUGUGGGUUAGCCUCUCCCUACUCAGUUGGACAAUACGGGUCUAGGAGUAAGAAGCAGUUUGUUCCGCUUCCCACCCACACAGUUCACCUCCAGUAUCCAGCGGACUUCUGGAACUCCACCCUCAGCCCACAGAUACCCAGGCAAGGUUGAGUACAGGCUCUGGAGACUGACUGCCUGAUUUAGGGUCCCGAUGCUCCCACCCAGCAGCUGUGUGUCCUUGGACUACUCCCUGAGCCUCAGUCUCCUACUCUGUAAAGUGGGGUGUAGACUAUUUCAUCUGGUUGCUGUGAAGACAGUUAAGUGUCUGCAGACAAGAUCUGGCUCCAAGGGGAGUGCUGGGUAAGAUGCUAGCUUUUCUCCACCUUCCAAGCCUGCUCUGCACUGCCUUGCCACCAGCCAGCAGCCGGGCCUGACUCUUGCCUCUGCUACGCCCCACACACCCUUUGGUCUGGAGGAUGGCACAACACCCAGCUUCAUCACAUUAAGCCUCAGAGAUCUACUGUGUGAUGGGGAAACUGAGGCACGAAAAGAGAGGAGCUGGCCAAAAGCCAAAGAGGAAAGAGGAUCCUGGCUCCUGACUUCCAAUGCAACCUGAGCCUCAGAGAGGAAGUGGAUGUCUGCACCAGGCCUGUCUCCAGGACCUGCAGGAAGUUGGCCGCGUCGAUGUCCAGCCCGUAGAGAUCCCGAAGCCACUCAGCCAGGUCCUCCUUCAUGGCUUCCAGGCAUCAAGACCGUGAUUCUUAUGUCCAUUUCAUGGAUGAGGGAACAAGAAAAUUGAAGAGGGCAGAAGGCCUUGCUUCCUUCCGAUGCAGACCUCUCCAUAGGGUUCUUGGGUGUCCUGGCCAAGUGGCAUCCAGUCUUCCCCAGGGUGAGAGAGCAAGACAGAAGCCACGCUGUCAUCAUUACCCAGCCUGGUAAGUCACACUGUCAUAUCCACAAUAUCCUAUUGUCACCAAGGUCGGCCUCACUUCACGAGGGAGGGCAGUACAAACACGAAUACUGGGAGCCAGGGAUCACUGGGAGCUUUCCUAUCCCAGUACAGAAGAGCUAGUUCUUUUUUCUUGCAAGCUAAUAAAAUCCUAUUACGUUCAGGUAGUAGGAUGAGCUUCCCUGAAACUGGGGAAGAUGGGCCCAGCCCCAGAAGAGGAACUGCGAUAGGUUCAUGUCAAUCACAGCAGAGCUAAGGUUGAGGUUUCUGUUGAGCCUCCAAGAUGCUGUGGAAGCAGCAAACCAAAAAAGGAACAAGACUAUGCAGACUUUAUGGAAGCAGUAUCCAAAAGCCGUCACUUGACGCUCAGGUCUCUCUCCCACUGGAGUACGUCAAGAGUUAGGUUGUUGCAGGGCAGGAGAGGACUUAGAAUUGUAGCUGUGCUGUGCCUCUCAUGACAGGCCAAAUGAUGGCCCCAGAGACAGCUGCGUCCUAAUGCCCAGAACCCAUGAAUGGCACCUUAUGUGGCAAAAGGGACUUUGCAGAUGUGGUUAAGGAUCUCAAGAUGGGGAGAUACUCCAGAUUGUCCAGGUGGACCUUAAAUGUAAUCACAGGUGUGGGGCAGAGGGUGGUCUGACCACGGAUUAGGAGAUGUGACAGCUGAAGCAGACUGAGUGCGCCACGAGCCAGGCACCCUGCAGCCUCUAGAAGUUGGAAGAAACAAGGAGCAGAUUCUCCCGUGGAGUCUCCAGAAAGAGCCAGCCCUGCCAAUACCUCGAUUUUAUUCCUGUGAGGUUCAUUUCAGACUUCUGACCUUUAGAACUGCAAAAGAAAAACUGUUGUUUUAAGCCGCUGCAUUUGGUGGUAAUUUGUUACAGCACCAAUAGGAAACUAAUGCCUGUCACCAUCUCUCUCCUCUCCCACCAAACAAGGGGAGAAGCGGGGAGAGGCGCUUCAACGGGACCUAUCAUAGAACUAGACGUUUAUCCCCAAUCACUAGGGAGACUCAGUGACCUGAAGUCUGACUCCUGUGUGGGACAUCGAAAAUGCAGACUGUAGGCUGGCUAGCUGCUCCAUAGUGGGGACUAAAGAGAGGGCUGCCCUGGAAUCAGGAAGCAGUCUUCUCAUAGGGGGAACAGAGGAUGGGUGAGUGCUCCUGUGUGCCACUCGGCCAGGGACAGGGUCAGUAGAGGGGAAGACCUCAGUAGAGGGGGAGCUGGCAGUGGACCAGUAAAUUCCUAGGUGUGCAGGGUGGGGGGGAUGAGUGACCCCUAGAAUCUAGUUUAUCCUCCUAGAUCCAAGGGCUGCCUGGAUUGGGGCAGGAAAAGCAAACACCAGUGGUUGGUCAGUGGGGAAGGAAGGAGAGGCAGAGCAAGAGGGAGGAAGGACCCGACGGUGUCUUCCACCUGUCAUCCCAUCACAUUGUUGCUACCAGUCAUGGAAGGCCCCAACCUUCCAUGGAGAUGUAACAUUGUAUCAACUUUCAGUGACUACAGUGACUGCUUUUCCAUGGCCUGAGAGUUCUCUGAACAAGUCAUAAGACCUGUCUGAACUGUCCUUAAGGGACAAGGGAAAGAAGCUUUCUUCCCCUUGAGCAGGUUUAAGGGGACCAUUGGAGGCAAAAAAAAAAAAAAAAAAGAGGUUGUUUUAUAGCUAUACUCCAAGAGUCCUACAGGUACCAAUUACAGCCAAGCUAGGUCAAUCUUGGCCAUCCUAUUUCUUUUCUCAGAGGGUUGGUUUAGGAUGGGUGUGUAUCUCGUGUCUAUCCAGUGAGUCUCAAAGAGAAGUCUGCUGGAGGGCUUCUAAGAAGUCCCUGGACUGCAGAGACUUUCUGCUUUGGUCAUGGUUGCACCAGGACAUGAUGCUUGGAGCUGCAGCAGCUAUUUUGCAACCAAGAAGAAAGACAAAGAAGGCAGAAGGGAAAUAUGAAGAGAUGCCUGGGUCCCUAACAACCUCUUCAAUCUGAACCAAUCCUGGAGCCUCCAACCUCAGACUUCUUAAGUGAACUAAUACAUUUUAUAAGGUUUCAGCCAUUAUUAUUGGGCCACUCUCAUAUUCCAGCAACUAAAUAUA
Long non-coding RNA from Nyctereutes procyonoides (raccoon dog), 3096 nucleotides. RefSeq lists it as uncharacterized. Lineage: Eukaryota; Metazoa; Chordata; Mammalia; Carnivora; Canidae. The transcript has 4 exons. The record is from RefSeq and is a predicted model, not a curated record.